This 497-nucleotide ribosomal RNA is filed under the name uncultured bacterium. RNAcentral describes it as "partial 16S ribosomal RNA". It matches the Rfam family "Bacterial small subunit ribosomal RNA", at positions 28 to 507 of the family's 1533-position model. The record is from RNAcentral.
GAUGAACGCUGGCGGCGUGCCUAAUACAUGCAAGUCGAGCGAACAGACGAGGUGCUUGCUCCUCUGACGUUAGCGGCGGACGGGUGAGUAACACGUGGUUAACCUACCUAUAAGACUGGGAUAACUUCGGGAAACCGGAGCUAAUACCGGAUAAUAUAUUGAACUGCAUGGUUCAAUAGUGAAAGACGCUUUUGCUGUCACUUAUAGAUGGUUACGCGCCGCAUUAGCUAGUUGGUAAGGUAACGGCUUACCAAGGCAACGAUGCGUAGCCGACCUGAGAGGGUGAUCGGCCACACUGGAACUGAGACACGGUCCACACUCCUACGGGAGGCAGCAGUAGGGAAUCUUCCGCAAUGGACGAAAGCCUAACGGAGCAACGCCGCGUGAGUGAUGAAGGUCUUCUGAUCGUAAAACUCUGUUAUUAGGAAAGAACAAAUGUUUAAGUAACUAUGCACAUAUUGACGGUACCUAAUCAAAAAGCCACGGCUAACUACGUG